RNAcentral lists this transfer RNA (75 nucleotides) under Candidatus Kerfeldbacteria bacterium RIFCSPHIGHO2_12_FULL_48_17. Its description in RNAcentral is "tRNA-Met". It matches the Rfam family "tRNA". From Rfam's summary of the family: Transfer RNA (tRNA) molecules are approximately 80 nucleotides in length. Their secondary structure includes four short double-helical elements and three loops (D, anti-codon, and T loops). Lineage: Bacteria; Candidatus Kerfeldiibacteriota. The record is from RNAcentral.
GCCAGGGUAGCUCAGGGGUAGAGCAGAGGACUCAUAAGCCUAAGGUCGGCGGUUCAAAUCCGCCCCCUGGUACAA